GCCACUUGUUACACCUGCAGGCAAUGAACUGAUUGGCACUUCCUUGUUUGUGACAGCGUUAAAGACUGAGCCCUGAAGUUAGAUGCAUGAUGGGAAAUGCAAUGAGCUGCUUGUCAGGGAAGAGACAAUUCACGGGAGAGGCCCCGCGAAAGCUGUAUACAUUCCCAAUUUACUCGCAUCUCUGCGGUUUUUAAGAGUUUGAAAAGACCAGACAAAGCUGCUGAACAGAAGGAAAUCAAAGCGCAUUUGGUUGGACCGUUAAGACGUGUGAAAUUGUCUCGCCUGUCAUUUGAACAGAGUCCAGGAGAAGUUUCAAGGUUGCUGAAUUCUUCCUUGAAUCUCUUAAAUGCAACUGCUCAGUGGAUAUCAGUUGCCGAAAUUCUGAGAAAUGUUUGAUGGAAAAACAUUUCAUAUGAUAUUUAGGCUGUCUAUACAGCAUUUUAAAGUUCAA
This is a long non-coding RNA of Trematomus bernacchii (emerald rockcod), 451 nucleotides long. RefSeq lists it as uncharacterized. NCBI's taxonomy places the organism in Eukaryota, Metazoa, Chordata, Actinopteri, Perciformes, Nototheniidae. The record is from RefSeq and is a predicted model, not a curated record. The transcript has 3 exons.